This 77-nucleotide transfer RNA is filed under the name Bacteroidia bacterium. RNAcentral's name for it is "tRNA-Ala". It matches the Rfam family "tRNA". Rfam says of the family: Transfer RNA (tRNA) molecules are approximately 80 nucleotides in length. Their secondary structure includes four short double-helical elements and three loops (D, anti-codon, and T loops). RNAcentral also lists the same sequence under 1 other name. Lineage: Bacteria; Pseudomonadati; Bacteroidota; Bacteroidia. The record is from RNAcentral.
GGGGGUUUAGCUCAUCUGGCUAGAGCGCAACACUGGCAGUGUUGAGGUGACCGGUUCGAGUCCGGUAAUCUCCACAA